UAUUAUAACAACAAAUGUAGAAUGGGAUGUUCAGAAAGCAUAUGUAAACAAACUUUUGUCCAUAGAAUGUAUAUUAAAUUACCCUUUUAUACAAAUAGUUGCUUUUGAAACAUUUAUGACAGGUAGAUGCAAAGAUGCUCAUCCUUGAGUUCUACAUUAGAGUCUAUAUUUAGGCAAAUUUUUCAGACAGAUUUAGAAACCAUGAAGAUGGAUUUAGAUUGUAAUUAAUAUAGAAAGCUUGCUAUAGUUGCUUAAGGUGACAUUUGCCAUGGACAGUACAAUUAAGUACAAUCAAGUGUACCUCAGUGAACAGUUAAUAACCUUGUCAAUGAUAGAAUUAUAAUGAAUAGACAUUCAGCUUCAUCCAGCUUGAGGAUGGGUUCCCUUUUUAAUCUGGAUCCUCUCAAGAUUUCUUCCUCAUACCAUUUUAAGGAGUUUUUUCUUGCCUCUGUUACCAGUGUCUUGUUUAUUAGGGAUGAACGUAUAGGCACUUAUGACGCUGAAAUUCUAUUUCAUUCUAAAAACUGCUGUGGUACAAUGUAUAAAAUAAAAAGUGCUAUUCAAAUAAAAUUAAAUUGAGUUCAUAGCUAUAGGGUAGUAUUGUUUCCCCACAUUGAUAAACCUGGUUUCAUGCGUCAAAUUGAAAACACUGGAUGCCAAACUAAGCCUAUUUGAUUGCUAUAAGUCCUCAGCCAAAUGAGAGAAGACGAGACCUCUUCGAUUUCUAACUCUGAAGGUCCAAAUAAAAAUUGAAUGCAUCAAAAAUCAUUUCUUGUCUUGGAAAUAUAAUACAAUAUGAGUACAAGAAGUCCGUUCUAAUAAUGCUCAAGUAGAAAUAUGCCAAAAUAAUGUUUAAGUAGAGUAUAAAGGACAAUCAUUUAGGUAUUGUGGGGAACAAAUUGAAGGGAUUAGUCUAUAAUUGUGGAUUUGAUUCCGAUUUCCUGACAAGAUGUUUGGAAGAGAAACAAAACGAAGAUGUUCCUGAGAGAAUCUGGCAAAAAUGCAGCCUCUGAACUUCAUCAAGUGUCACUGGAAUUGUGUAGUGUAGUUGAUCUUUUUGACCAUAUGCAUUUCUCUGUGUGUGUGUGUGUGUGUGUGUGUGUGUGUGUGUGUGUGUGUGUGUGUGUGUGAUGGGUCAAAUGCAUUACAAAGCAGAUGCAAUCAAAGUUGUGCAAACCACACAAUGUGUCUAGAAAAACAAUUUCUAUAGAAAGUUGGUGUGAGCGUGUUUGUGUUUUACACCACAUACACUCCUCCUGUACACAACUAUUAGUGGAUCAGGUAUCCAUUUUCACACUGAAAUGUUCCUCAUGUGGUACUAACCCUUAUAUCCAAUAACAGGCAGGGUCAAAGGAGAAGUCAGAGGUCUCAGGACUUGCAAGUCAUCAUUCCCAUAGGAUCUCUGUGUGUGUGUGUGUGUGUGUGUAUGUGUGUGUGUAUGAAUGUCCACAAGGGAGUCACUCUGAGCUAUUUGCAGUCUUAUCGUGUUGUAUGUCUAAAGAGCUGACCAACUUCGCUCCAAGCCAAGCACUGCUAACCUCUAACCCCUGUGUUAAAGCAAAAACAGAUGCCUUUAAACUGACUCAUAUCCGGCCCUUAAAUAAACUGCAGAGGAAUUUUUCACCCCUCUGCUCUUCACACCCAUUUUCAUCAUCUCACUUCCUUUUUUCUUCUUAAUUCAGACUCAUUUCGAGUUUUUGUUCAGAAGGUUCAUUAAUUACACUGACUGUAAGUUCGAGAUCCUGUUUUCUGGGUGGAAGAAGGAAGAAAGAAGUUUGGUUAUAAUAUGACCCAUGCAGAAGCAGCCUAACAGCACGGCCUGUCAACAGCAGUGUUCUCUUGGCAAGAUGGUGGGAAUGUCUGCUCUUGGGGGAUGGGCCAAGAGAAAUGAGCAAGGCCUUUAACUCUCUGUGCUCCAGGGGCACUGUGCUCGCUGACCCUGCACCCUGACCCCAGGUUUCUAACAUUGCUAAGAUGUGUGAAGAAAGACUUUCACUCUGCUAUAAGGUACUUUUAACAAGUACAAAGCCUAUUUAACCUUUUUCUCUCUUUAACUACUGGACAUAAUAUACAGUAUAUACAUAAUAUUCUUUCUAGCUAAUGAGCACUAAUAGCUGUUCUAUCAUGCUGCUGAUGUGGAGAUCAUCAGAAGGGAUGUUAAUGGUGGCGCUGUUCAGGUUGACAAGCCACAGCAUCUGUGUCAGGGAGCACAGCUCUGUCUUAGAGGUACGACGCUCAAGUGUUUCCCACCUCCACCAAGUCCCAGGACAGAUGGUUCCAGCUGCAGCUGGCACAGUGUGGUGCAACACCUGAAAAGUGGAGCAAGGAGAAUAGAGAAUCUGAUUUCACUGAAACUGGAACUUGCUUCAAAGAAGACAGCUACUAUCCCCCACUGAUAGAGCUCAAGCUAAAGAAAACAGCAAGCAAAGGACAGAGGGCAGAGCGGUGCGUCUGCGGAACGCGUACAGAAGAGACGAUUUGGAAACUCGGCGCAAAAACGCUCUCUCUCUCUCUCCAAAACACACAUCCGCGUCGCGGUGUUUUCAUCUUUCUCAAACACUUCCGAACUACUGUUUCGCCUGUACUCGUGUUUUACCUGAUGUUUUAGAUCGGAGCUCCUUGAAAUUAUUAGUAUUUACAUAAUAGAGAUCAAAUAAAAGAUUCUUCAUUACAACGUUUCCGAACUUAUGCCAAAUGUUCUGAAUAACUUUCUUAAGCAAAUGGGUUUCACACCAAACUGAUUUUCCUGAAAAACAAAACCAUGUUUUUUUUUUUAAACGUAAAUAAAGGUUUUUGUUUUUUUGUUUUUUUACAAAGAAAAAGAGUUUCAUUCCAAUGUCCUGUAAAAUCCCCGCUAACAAUAAAUGAUUCCCUGCUAUUUCCCUGUAAUUGUGUAGCUACUGUACGCUAGAUGGCAGCCCGAUCCAGACAUUAUAAACCUGGAAAAGCCUGAACCAAAGCGCACGCUCCAGUAUUCAUGCACCAAAAAAGCCGGUAUGCUUUGCCAUUUCAGCACGAACUUCCGCCCUUAUUGGAUCAAUAAAACAACCCCGGUAAACAAUAGCAUUCAAAAAAAUCACCUUUUAAGUGUCAAAACAUGAGGUUUCGGCCCGUGUGUCUGAGGCUAUCGACCCCGAUUUUUUACUCCCUCUCUCUAUCAUGAUCUCGCAUCCCAUUAGCAACACACUGGACCAAACUGGAGCAGCUCGAGCGCAUCCCGGUACUUUUACUUCACCUUUUUUUGUUUUUGCACCGUUCAUUGAGAACUUGCACGGCGAACGUGUGAAUUUUAUUGCUGUGAUUUUGUGGCGUUGAGCGUUGAAAUGUUUUAUUUUUUGCUGCACACACACACACACACACACACACUGUUCACACAUCUUCUCCCUAGCUUGAUUGAGACUGCAGCUUUGUAACAAAGCGUCCCAGAAAACUUUCAGGGGCUCCGUCUCGAGCCCCCCGUUCGCGUUUAUUUUCGCGUGCGUUCUGCUCGCGCUCGGCUCGCGCUUUUCACCCGGCGCAACCGGGUUUUCUUCCUCUUUUUUUUUUUUUUU
Molecule: long non-coding RNA, 3551 nt
Organism: Silurus meridionalis
Lineage: Eukaryota; Metazoa; Chordata; Actinopteri; Siluriformes; Siluridae
Exons: 5
Source: RefSeq, a predicted model, not a curated record